AGCAGCCGCGGUAAUUCCAGCUCCAAUAGCGUAUAUUAAAGUUGUUGCAGUUAAAAAGCUCGUAGUUGAAUUUCGGGAUCAAUGCGUCGGUCGUGCUUUCGGGUACGUACUGGUGUCAUUGGUUUCUCCUUUCUGACGAGCCGUGAUGUCAUUAAUUUGGUGUUACGGGUAGUUAGGACUGUUACUUUGAAAAAAUUAGAGUGUUUAAAGCAGGCUUACGCUUGAAUACAUUAGCAUGGAAUAAUGAAGUAGGACGUUUGAUCCUAUUUUGUUGGUUUCUAGGAUUGACGUAAUGAUUAAUAGGGAUAGUUGGGGGCAUUAGUAUUCAAUUGUCAGAGGUGAAAUUCUUGGAUUUAUUGAAGACUAACUACUGCGAAAGCAUUUGCCAAGGAUGUUUUCAUUAAUCAAGAACGAAAGUUAGGGGAUCGAAGACGAUCAGAUACCGUCGUAGUCUUAACCAUAAACUAUGCCGACUAGGGAUCGGAUGAUGUUAAUUUUUUAAUGACUCAUUCGGCGCCUU
Molecule: ribosomal RNA, 520 nt
Filed under: uncultured Glomus
Lineage: Eukaryota; Fungi; Glomeromycota; Glomeromycetes; Glomerales; Glomeraceae
Description: SSU rRNA
Rfam family: Eukaryotic small subunit ribosomal RNA
Source: RNAcentral